Molecule: ribosomal RNA, 913 nt
Rfam family: Eukaryotic large subunit ribosomal RNA
UUAAGCAUAUCAAUAAGCGGAGGAAAAGAAACUAACAAGGAUUCCCAUAGUAACUGCGAGUGAAGCGGGAAAAGCUCAAAUUUAAAAUCUGGUAGUCUUUGGCUGCCCGAGUUGUAAUCUGGAGAAGCGUUUUCCGCGCUGGACCGUGUACAAGUCUCUUGGAAUAGAGCGUCAUAGAGGGUGAGAAUCCCGUCUUUGACACGGACUACCAGUGCUUUGUGAUACGCUCUCAAAGAGUCGAGUUGUUUGGGAAUGCAGCUCAAAAUGGGUGGUAAAUUCCAUCUAAAGCUAAAUAUUGGCGAGAGACCGAUAGCGAACAAGUACCGUGAGGGAAAGAUGAAAAGCACUUUGGAAAGAGAGUUAAACAGUACGUGAAAUUGCUGAAAGGGAAGCGUUUGAAGUCAGUCGCGUUGUUCAGAACUCAACCUGGUUUUACUUGGUGCACUUUCUGGAUGACGGGCCAACAUCAGUUUUGACUGUCGGAUAAAGGCCUUAGGAAUGUGGCACCUCCGGGUGUGUUAUAGCCUUUGGUUGUAUACGAUGGUUGGGACUGAGGACCGCAGCACGCCUUUUGGCCGGGGUUCGCCCACGUACGUGCUUAGGAUGUUGGCGUAAUGGCUUUAAACGACCCGUCUUGAAACACGGACCAAGGAGUCUAACAUGCCUGCGAGUGUUUGGGUGGAAAACCCGAGCGCGUAAUGAAAGUGAAAGUUGGGAUCCCUGUCGUGGGGAGCACCGACGCCCAUACCAGACCUUCUGUGACGGAUAUGCGGUUGAGCAUGUAUGUUGGGACCCGAAAGAUGGUGAACUAUGCCUGAAUAGGGUGAAGCCAGAGGAAACUCUGGUGGAAGCUCGUAGCGAUUCUGACGUGCAAAUCGAUCGUCAAAUUUGGGUAUAGGGGCGAAAGACUAAU